CCCUUAGAUGUCCGGGGCUGCACGCGCGCUACACUGAAUGAAUCAGCGUGCUAGAAAACCUUGUUUGACAUGGCUAGGUAACCCAUUGAAAAUCAUUCGUGAUUGGGAUCGGGACUUGCAAAUGUGUCCCUUCAACGAGGAAUGCCUAGUAAGCGCGUGUCAUCAGCAUGCGUUGAUUACGUCCCUGCCCUUUGUACACACCGCCCGUCGCUACUACCGAUUGAAUGGCUCAGUGAGGCCUCCGGACUGGCUUAGGGAGGUUGGCAACGACCACCCCGAGCCGGGAAGCUGGUCAAACUCGGUCAUUUAGAGGAAGUAAAAGUCGUAACA
RNAcentral lists this ribosomal RNA (330 nucleotides) under uncultured eukaryote. RNAcentral's name for it is "partial 18S ribosomal RNA". It matches the Rfam family "Eukaryotic small subunit ribosomal RNA", at positions 1470 to 1796 of the family's 1831-position model. The record is from RNAcentral.